UACGUGAGCCUCAAGCGUUACCCGGAUUUACUGGGCGUAAAGGGUGUGUAGGCGGCCAUGUUAGUCGUUUGUUAAAGACCGGGGCUUAACCUCGGUAAGGCGGGCGAAACGGCAUGGCUUGAGGAUGGCAGGGGCGCAUGGAACUCAUGGUGUAGGGGUGAAAUCCGUUGAUAUCAUGGGGAACACCGAAAGCGAAGGCAGUGCGCUGGGCCAUUCCUGACGCUGAGACACGAAAGCCAGGGUAGCGAACGGG
Molecule: unclassified non-coding RNA, 253 nt
Filed under: uncultured Parcubacteria group bacterium
Lineage: Bacteria
Description: contains 16S-23S intergenic spacer region
Rfam family: Bacterial small subunit ribosomal RNA
Source: RNAcentral